Molecule: ribosomal RNA, 544 nt
Filed under: uncultured bacterium
Lineage: Bacteria
Description: bacterial SSU rRNA
Rfam family: Bacterial small subunit ribosomal RNA
Source: RNAcentral
UGCAAGUCGAGCGCGUGUAGCAAUACACGAGCGGCAGACGGGAGAGUAACACGUGGGAACGUACCCUUCAGUCCGGAAUAACCCAGGGAAACUUGGACUAAUACCGGAUACGUCCGUAAGGAGAAAGAUUCAUCGCUGAAGGAUCGGCCCGCGGCUGAUUAGCUAGUUGGUGGGGUAACGGCUCACCAAGGCGACGAUCGGUAGCUGGUCUGAGAGGAUGAUCAGCCUCACUGGGACUGAGACACGGCCCAGACUCCUACGGGAGGCAGCAGUGGGGAAUAUUGGACAAUGGGCGCAAGCCUGAUCCAGCCAUGCCGCGUGGGUGAUGAAGGCCCUAGGGUUGUAAAGCCCUUUCGGCGGGGAAGAUAAUGACGGUACCCGCAGAAGAAGCCCCGGCUAACUUCGUGCCAGCAGCCGCAGUAAUACGAAGGGGGCUAGCGUUGCUCGGAAUCACUGGGCGUAAAGCGCACGUANGCGGAUCGCUAAGUCGGGGGUGAAAUCCUGGAGCUCAACUCCAGAACUGCCUUCGAUACUGGCGAUCUUG